This 4335-nucleotide long non-coding RNA is filed under the name Capsicum annuum. RNAcentral describes it as "long non-coding RNA (CANN_LNC013807)". The record is from RNAcentral. Lineage: Eukaryota; Viridiplantae; Streptophyta; Magnoliopsida; Solanales; Solanaceae.
UCAACAAAUCAUUUAAAUAAUUCAAAUCAACAAAACUCAAACAAUGAAUCCAACAACAUUCAAAAUACUUAAACACUCCUAAAGAUUUUCACUAAUUAAAAGCUAAAUUCAAAAAUAUCUAAAAAUUAUCUAAAACUCAAGUCCAACAACACUAAGGAGUAGCCCCAACAAACUCCUCAUCACUCUUUGUUUCCUCUUUGCUACUUGAAUUAAGAGCAACGGCCUGUAUCAAGGCACGUCUAAGAUGUGCAAUCUGAUGUGACAUAGCAGCAUGUCUCUCAGAAAUUGAAGAAAUGGCAUGAUCAUGCUUUGCCAACCAGCAACACAUUGUCUAAAAAUCAAUUGACUAGUGCUAUAUGAUAAUAUAUAUAUAUAUAUAUUUGAUGCGGGAUACCACCUGUAAAUAACAUAAUAAGUACGUAAGCUUGAAUGUUUUAUUAAUGAAAAAAAUAAACCUAUCAAUUGAAAAAUAAACUUAUGAAGAUCUAUCAGGCUCGAUGAACACUCUACCAAGCAUGUCCGUAUCUCCAGGAACUAGACCAUUCAAAUCUGUAUCACUAUCUUCUUCUACAGGAGGAGGUGGAGGAGAAGGUAGAGGUGGAGGUGGAUGUGGUGGUGACUUGAUCAUUUUGAAGUCACUAGCACACAUUUCAAAAUACUACACUUAACUAUUUUCAAGUCAUGAAUUCACAUUUCAAGUGACAACGUAAACUAUUUUCAAGUCAUGAAUUGACAUUUCAAGUGACAACACUAAACCAAUUUCAAGUCAUGAAUUCACAUUUUCAAAUGAUUACACUUUGCUAAUUUCAAAACACAAGUUCAUCUUUCAAGUAACUUCAUUAAACCAUUUUCAAGUCACUAAUUUACUUCUCAAGUGACUACACUUGAUUAAGUUGAAGUCACUAGUACACAUUUAAAAACACUACACUUAACCAUUUUCAACUCUCUAAUUCACUUCUCAAUUAACUAAACUUAGCCAUUUUCAAGUCAUGAAUUCACAUUUCAAGUGACAAUACUAAAUCAAUUUCAAGUCAUGAAUUCACACUUUCAAGUGAUUACACUUUACUAAUUUUAAAAUACAAGUUCACCUUUCAAGUAACUACACUAAACCAUUUUCUAGUCCCUAAUCCACUUCUCAAGUGACUACACUUGAUCACUUUGAAGUACACAUUUCAAAACACUACACUUGACCAUUUUCAACUCUUUAAUUCACAUUUCAAGUGACUAAGCCUAACCAUUUUCAAGUCAUAAAUUCACAUUUCAAGUAUCAACGCUAAACCAAUUUCAAGUUAUGAAUUCACAUUUUUAAGUGAUUACACUUUACUAAUUUCAAAACACAAGUUCACCUUUCAAGAAAUAGACUAAACCAUUUUCAAGUCGCUAAUCCAAUUCUCAAGUGACUAGUAUACAUUUUAAAACAUUACACUUAACCAUUUUGAACUCUCUAAUUCACAUUUCAAGUGACUAAACUUAAUCAUUUUCAAUUCAUGAAUUCAUAUUUCAAGUAUCAGCACUAAACCAUUUUUAAGUGAUUACACAUAACUAAUUUCAAAACACAAGUUCACCUUUCAAGUAACUACACUAAACCAUUUUCCACUAAUCCACUUCUCAAGUGACUACACUUGAUCACUUUGAAGUCACUAGUACACAUUUCAAAACACUGCACUUGCCAUUUUCAACUCUCUAAUUUACAUUUCAAGUGACUAAGUCUAACCAUUUUCAAGUCAUGAAUUCACAUUUCAAGUGUCAACACUAAACCAAUUUCAAGUUAUGAAUUCACAUUUUCAAGUGAUUACACUUUACUAAUUUCAAAACAUAAGUUCGCCUUUCAAGUAACUACACUAAACCAUUUUCAAGUCACUAAUCCACUUCUCAAGUGACUAGUACACAUUUCAAAACAUUACACUUAACCAUUUUCAACUCUCUAAUUCACAUUUCAAGUGACUAAACUUAAUCAUUUUCAAGUCAUGAAUUUACAUUUCAAGUAUCAACACUAAACCAAUUUCAAGUAAUGAAUUCUCAUUUUCAAGUGAUCAGACUUAACUAAUUUCAAAACACAAGUUCACCAUUCAAGUAACUACACUAAACCAUUUUCAAGUAUGGCUAUAGUAGAGUUAUAUUAGAAGUUGAUUCUGAACUUCUAGUCAAGUGGCUCAAACGUGCUAUUACACCACCUUGGAGCAUUUGCAGGUACAUCGAGGAGCUUCAGCAUCUUACUAGUAUACUUGAUUGUUUCAGAUGUGUUCAUGUAUACAGGGAGAUAAAUUUCUCGGCAGAUGUGCUAUCUAACCAUAGCCAUGAUAUAGAUUCUAAUCAUUAUUAUUAUAGCUUUCACUAUCUUCCCUAGGAUACUAAAGGUUUCUUCACUCUUGAAAAGAUUGGUAUGUCCAAUUUUCAAAGAAGGAUGUUAAAGCGUAUCAAGAAACUACCCUAGAUGGAGUUGGACUUUCUUGUACUUGGUAUCUUCUAUUUUGUUUAUCUCACCUCAUCAACUUCAUCUCUGCUAUUCUCUUUAAUUUAUAGCCAUUAUGAAGUGGUUUAGUUUAGUUUAGUUUUGAUUUUCUUCUUACUUUGUAAGGGGAGAGUCUCCCUUAUUUCAGCUUUCCUAUAUUAUAUUGUACUGAGAGGAGUCCUCUCUUCUAAGUGCUUAGAUCUAGGUUCCAUUUCUGGUAUCGAAGAUGAGUUGACUGACCUUAGUAGGCUAGUUUACUUUGAACCACCAUAGGAUCGGAGGUAAGGUUUAUGUCCCCCUCUUUGUACUUUCUUGUUUUUUUACUUAUGAUAAGGAUUAGGGGUGUGCGGCUCAACCCCUAACCGCCACGGGAGGUGAGAGCCCCUGGUAAGGUCCGUUCUAGAAAAAAAGACUUGAUCACUUUGAAGUCACUAGUACAUAUUUCAAAACACUACACUUGACCAUUUUCAACUCUCUAAUUCACAUUUCAAGUGACUAAGCCUAAUAAUUUUCAAGUCAUGAAUGUAUAUUCAAGUGUCAACACUAAACCAAUUUCAAGUUAUGAAUUCACAUUUUCAAGUGAUUACACUUUACUAAUUUCAAAAUACAAGUUCAUCUUUCAAGAACUACACUAAACCAUUUUCAAGUCGCUAAUCCACUUCUCAAGUGACUAGUACAUAUUUCAAAAUUUGGUGAUCAACAGUGUUGAAAAUUUGGAAAAACAUUUUAAAAUUCUCAUGCUUGAGAUGUAUCAAAAAUAUUAUCUCUAACUACAAGGACACUUCACUAAUUGAAAUUUUGAUUGAAUCCUUCUAGUAUCAGCUAGAAGAAAAAAACAAGAGAAUUAAAUAAAGAGAUAAAAUUUAACACAAUAUAAUAUGACAGGAAGAAUUUAUCUUGAUGUAUCUUAAAAAUAAGAGAAGUACUACAAAUAUAUAUAGGUAAGAACAAGUGUGACCCCUCAAGAGUUUUUUUUUUUUUUUUUUUUUUUUGUUUGAUAUUUGUAUUGAAGUCUAAAUAUAUUCGCAUCACAUAUUACUAGACCUAUUUCAAAGCAGCACUCUUAACAUAAUUUUUUCUAUAUGAAAUGGUCAAACCUAAAUCCUCCAAAACCAUAUGAGUAAAAUAUAGGGAAAUAAAUUAAUUGCAAGUGUCACAUUAAAAAGGCAAUUCAAUUCAAGGAUGGCACCAUUUCUUCUCUAUUUUUAAGCAACAACACAAGUUUAUUCAUUUAUUAUGGGGAUUGAUAAUCAUAGGAGUAUCCUACUUUUGUCAUGACAGGAUCAUUAUCCCUUUCAUUUUUUUAAUUUGCAGAAUAAUUGUGGUGACUAUUAAUAUAAUAUUAUGUAAUAGCUAACGCAGGGGAAAAGAAUAAUAAGGAAGUAAUUAGUGAUUAGUGAGCUGACAGCCUUAGAAAUGUCUUUCAAUCACUUUCCUAGUAGUCUUUCCCCUUUACCUUUCCCACCUCACCAUCUACGUUUUAUUUCCUUAUUCAACUCUAAACCUUUAAGUUUAAUUCUUCUUCUUCUCUUUCUUAUCCAUCUUCUAGCUACUUCUUUCCUCAUUUUUUUCUUCUAAAUUCUACCUUUCAAUUCACAGUUAGCUAAAAAUGAUCGCUGACUAUUAAGGCUAUUCAAAAUUGCAAACAUUAAAAAUUAAUAAUUUAGCUCACCGGUGACGGAGAGAGCGGCGACAAUGGAUGUUUGAGAAGAAGAGACGGUGGCGAUGUUGGGCAGCUGCUGUUGAGGGAUGAAUAGAGGGAGGUGGAGCAGCGACGGAGGUCAGCGAGGUGGAGCGGCGAUGAAGGUCGAAAAUGGUUUUAUUUUAGAGAGAAGGUAGAGAAGAAAGGGUUUGUAGAAAGAGAGAGUGGAGAGGCGGGGAAG